GGACUACUGGGGUAUCUAAUCCUGUUUGCUCCCCACGCUGUCGCGCCUCAGCGUCAGCAACGGCCCAGCAGAACGCCUUCGCCACUGGUGUUCUUCCCGAUCUCUACGCAUUCCACCGCUACACCGGGAAUUCCAUCUGCCUCUACCGUGCUCUAGCCCGCCAGUCUUACCGGCAGCCCCGGAGUUGAGCCCCGGGAUUUCACCGGCAACUUAGCGAGCCGCCUACGCGCCCUUUACGCCCAGUGAUUCCGGACAACGCUCGCACCCUCCGUAUUACCGCGGCUGCUGGCAC
Molecule: ribosomal RNA, 292 nt
Filed under: uncultured bacterium
Lineage: Bacteria
Description: partial 16S ribosomal RNA
Source: RNAcentral